This is a non-coding RNA of Podarcis lilfordi (Lilford's wall lizard), 74 nucleotides long. The record is from the annotation of a GenBank genome assembly. Lineage: Eukaryota; Metazoa; Chordata; Lepidosauria; Squamata; Lacertidae.
GCCGUAGCUCAACCUUACAGCAUCUGCUUUGCAUGCAGAAGGUACCAGGCCAGGUUCAAUCCCUGCCAACACCC